UGGGGAAUUUUGGACAAUGGGGGCAACCCUGAUCCAGCAAUGCCGCGUGUGUGAAGAAGGCCUUCGGGUUGUAAAGCACUUUUGUCCGGGAAGAAAUCGCACCUGAUAAUACCGGGUGUGGAUGACGGUACCGGAAGAAUAAGGACCGGCUAACUACGUGCCAGCAGCCGCGGUAAUACGUAGGGUCCAAGCGUUAAUCGGAAUUACUGGGCGUAAAGCGUGCGCAGGCGGUUGUGCAAGACCGAUGUGAAAUCCCCGGGCUUAAACUGGGAAUUGCAUUGGUGACUGCACGGCUAGAGUGUGUCAGAGGGGGGUAGAAUUCCACGUGUAGCAGUGAAAUGCGUAGAGAUGUGGAGGAAUACCGAUGGCGAAGGCAGCCCCCUGGGAUAACACUGACGCUCAUGCACGAAAGCGUGGGGAGCAAACAGG
RNAcentral lists this ribosomal RNA (429 nucleotides) under Bacillota bacterium. Its description in RNAcentral is "Firmicutes bacterium partial 16S ribosomal RNA". It matches the Rfam family "Bacterial small subunit ribosomal RNA", at positions 355 to 776 of the family's 1533-position model. Lineage: Bacteria; Bacillati; Bacillota. The record is from RNAcentral.